This is a long non-coding RNA of Bombina bombina (fire-bellied toad), 741 nucleotides long. RefSeq lists it as uncharacterized. The transcript has 3 exons. The record is from RefSeq and is a predicted model, not a curated record. Lineage: Eukaryota; Metazoa; Chordata; Amphibia; Anura; Bombinatoridae.
CUGGGAUGGUCAGUUAACAUCAACAUGACAAUAUUACAGAUGAAGGAACUAAAGUCACUCAUGAGGAAGAGCUAGAAAAUGCUGAAUCUACAAACUCAGAAUGUGUUGAAGAGCCAUCAUGUAGCACAUUGAGGACACAAAAAGAUAAUGUCGAUAAUACAGAAGAUAAUUGUUAGAUUCACCUGGAAACACUGGAUGAAAAUACAAUUACAGAGGAAGAUGAUGAUGCCACCCAAAUAGGGACACCCACUAUUCCAGCGAUUUCCGAACCCCCAGAGAUAGACAUGGGUCAAGGACAUGUAUCACAUCCAAAUUCUAUUCACAUUAGCAGAAGACCAGAGCUAGAAUUGAUUAACGAAAUGACUUCUAUUUUUUUUAUGAACGCAAAAUGAUAAGCAAAGGGGAAAGAAACACUCUAUUGAAGGAACAAAAUAAUAUAUUGAGGGCAAGAAAUGAGCUGUUGAUCAAAAACAAUGAAUUAUUGUGUGACCUUGUAAAGAAAAUGGAAAAACUCACAUAUGGUAACACAUUAAUUUAAAAUAAUUAUGCUGUACAUAUAGCCUUAAAGGAGUGAUUUUCCUUAAUAAAAUUAAUACAAUUAACAAUUUUCCAUUGUUUGCAAAAAAUAAAAAUGAUUUCUCAUCUCAUGUAGGCUUUUGAUUGUACUGAGAGUCCAUGUUUCACAAAAAUGAAUACAAUAAAUAACAUCAAUAAACGCUACUUGUAUUGAAUAAUCCAAAA